This 336-nucleotide non-coding RNA is filed under the name Clonorchis sinensis. RNAcentral's name for it is "Eukaryotic large subunit ribosomal RNA". It matches the Rfam family "Eukaryotic large subunit ribosomal RNA", at positions 675 to 954 of the family's 3401-position model. The record is from Rfam by way of RNAcentral. Lineage: Eukaryota; Metazoa; Platyhelminthes; Trematoda; Opisthorchiida; Opisthorchiidae.
GUAACAUGUGCGCGAGUCACUGGGCGUAACGAAACCUAAAGGCGAAGUGAAGGUCUGUCUUGUCAGGACUGAGGUAACAUCCUGUCGUGCCUCAUGCGCGGUAUCAUCAAGCAUCGAGCGGCAGGCGCAUCACCGGCCCGUCCCAUGGUGUGAUGGCCCUAUUCAGAGUUUGUCAUCGGGGCGGAGCAUGAGCGUACAUGUUGAGACCCGAAAGAUGAACUAUGCUUGCGCAGGUUGAAGCCAGAGGAAACUCUGGCCGCAGCGAUCCUGACGUGCAAAUCGACCGUCAGACGUGAGUAUAGGGGCGAAAGACUAAUCGAACCAUCUAGUAGCUGG